RNAcentral lists this ribosomal RNA (1382 nucleotides) under uncultured bacterium. Its description in RNAcentral is "16S ribosomal RNA". It matches the Rfam family "Bacterial small subunit ribosomal RNA". The record is from RNAcentral.
AGAGUUUGAUCCUGGCUCAGGAUGAACGCUAGCGGCGCGCCUUAUGCAUGCAAGUCGCACGGUCCCGCAAGGGACAGUGGCAAACGGGUGAGUAAUGGAUAAGUAACCUGCCCUUAAGUGGGGGAUAACACUUCGAAAGAAGUGCUAAUACUGCAUGUGGUGCUCUUUCACAAGAAGGAUCACUAAAACCGCAAGGUGCUUGAGGAGGGGCUUGUCUCCGAUUAGCUAGUUGGUGGGGUAACGGCCUACCAAGGCGAUGAUCGGUAGCUGGUCUGAGAGGAUGGUCAGCCACACUGGGACUGAGACACGGCCCAGACUCCUACGGGAGGCAGCAGCAAGGAAUCUUGGGCAAUGGGCGAAAGCCUGACCCAGCGACGCCGCGUGAGGGAUGACGGCCUUCGGGUUGUAAACCUCUUUUCUCAGGGAAGAAUAAUGACGGUACCUGAGGAAUAAGUCUCGGCUAACUACGUGCCAGCAGCCGCGGUAAUACGUAGGAGGCGAGCGUUAUCCGGAUUUAUUGGGCGUAAAGUGGGCGUAGGUGGUCUUUCAAGUCGGAUGUGAAAUCUCCCGGCUCAACUGGGAGGGGUCAUCCGAUACUGUUGGACUUGAGUACAGCAGGGGAAAAUGGAAUUCCCGGUGUAGUGGUGAAAUGCGUAGAUAUCGGGAGGAACACCAGAGGCGAAGGCGAUUUUCCAGGCUGAAACUGACACUGAGGCCCGAAAGCGUGGGGAGCGAACAGGAUUAGAUACCCUGGUAGUCCACGCCUUAAACUAUGGGUACUAGGUAUAGGGAGUAUCGACCCUCUCUGUGCCGAAGCUAACGCUUUAAGUACCCCGCCUGGGGAGUACGGUCGCAAGACUAAAACUCAAAGGAAUUGACUGGGGCCCGCACAAGCAGCGGAGCGUGUGGUUUAAUUCGAUGCUACACGAAGAACCUCACCAAGGCUUGACAUGUUAGAAGUAGUGAACCGAAAGGGGAUCGACCUGUCAAAUCAGGAGCUAUCACAGGUGCUGCAUGGCUGUCGUCAGCUCGUGCCGUGAGGUGUAUGGUUAAGUCCUGCAACGAGCGCAACCCUUAUUGCCAGUUAUAUUCUCUGGCGAUACUGCCUCGCAAAACGGGGAGGAAGGUGGGGAUGACGUCAAGUCAGCAUGGCCUUUAUGCCUUGGGCUACACACACGCUACAAUGGGCGGCACAAUGGGUUGCCACCGGGUGACCGGGAGCUAAUCCCAUCAAAACUGUUCUCAGUUCGGAUUGAGGGCUGCAACUCGCCCUCAUGAAGCUGGAAUCGCUAGUAACCGCGUAUCAGCCACGACGCGGUGAGUACGUUCUCGGGCUUUGUACACACCGCCCGUCAAGCCAAGAGAGUCGGGAAUACCCGAAG